UACGUAGGGUGCAAGCGUUAAUCGGAAUUACUGGGCGUAAAGCGUGCGCAGGCGGUUUUGUAAGUCUGACGUGAAAUCCCCGGGCUCAACCUGGGAAUUGCGUUGGAGACUGCAAGGCUUGAAUCUGGCAGAGGGGGGUAGAAUUCCACGUGUAGCAGUGAAAUGCGUAGAGAUGUGGAGGAACACCGAUGGCGAAGGCAGCCCCCUGGGUCAAGAUUGACGCUCAUGCACGAAAGCGUGGGGAGCAAACAGG
Molecule: ribosomal RNA, 253 nt
Filed under: uncultured bacterium
Lineage: Bacteria
Description: partial 16S ribosomal RNA
Rfam family: Bacterial small subunit ribosomal RNA
Source: RNAcentral